Molecule: ribosomal RNA, 460 nt
Filed under: uncultured bacterium
Lineage: Bacteria
Description: partial 16S ribosomal RNA
Rfam family: Bacterial small subunit ribosomal RNA
Source: RNAcentral
CCUACGGGAGGCAGCAGUGAGGAAUAUUGGUCAAUGGACGAGAGUCUGAACCAGCCAAGUAGCGUGAAGGAUGACUGCCCUAUGGGUUGUAAACUUCUUUUAUAUGGGAAUAAAAUGUUCCACGUGUGGGAUUUUGUAUGUACCAUAUGAAUAAGGAUCGGCUAACUCCGUGCCAGCAGCCGCGGUAAUACGGAGGAUCCGAGCGUUAUCCGGAUUUAUUGGGUUUAAAGGGUGCGUAGGUGGAUUGUUAAGUCAGUUGUGAAAGUUUGCGGCUCAACCGUAAAAUUGCAGUUGAAACUGGCAGUCUUGAGUACGGUAGAGGUGGGCGGAAUUCGUGGUGUAGCGGUGAAAUGCUUAGAUAUCACGAAGAACUCCGAUUGCGAAGGCAGUUCACUGGACUGCAACUGACACUGAGGCUCGAAAGUGUGGGUAUCAAACAGGAUUAGAUACCCCUGUAGUC